Long non-coding RNA from Dioscorea cayenensis subsp. rotundata (Guinea yam), 386 nucleotides. RefSeq lists it as uncharacterized. The transcript is spliced from 3 exons. Lineage: Eukaryota; Viridiplantae; Streptophyta; Magnoliopsida; Dioscoreales; Dioscoreaceae. The record is from RefSeq and is a predicted model, not a curated record.
AAAAUAGAAGAUUUGAUGUACACAAUCACACCCGAGGAGAUUCCUUUCCAACUGGGAUUGUCGAGAAUGGAUCUUAGGAAAAAAACUGAAAUCCAGCUUAUCUGCUGCUGACAAGUCAAUCAAUGCCAUGUCUAGGAAGUUGCAAAAGAAUUUAACGUCAGAGGAGCUGCUGCUUUCUUUGUGACCUUCAAUUUAACAUCAAAUUAUAGGAGGUUAUAUAAGAAUUUAAUAUAGUUUGUGCAUUCACAUCACUUGUGUCUUUUUUGCGGACACCCUUGGAUUCAUCAUCUGUUGAUGUUGCUGUCUUUUGUCUCUCACUAAUGGGAACCAAUUUCUCAAGCUACCUGCAGGAAGCAAACAGAGUUCUCAAGCCAUGGUUCACAUUU